UUAUCACAUCCUUAUAGUGCA
RNAcentral lists this non-coding RNA (21 nucleotides) under Arabidopsis thaliana (thale cress). Lineage: Eukaryota; Viridiplantae; Streptophyta; Magnoliopsida; Brassicales; Brassicaceae. The record is from RNAcentral.